AUGUGGAGAAGGAUGCUUUCUUCUCCUGCCCCACCAAACUCAGCCGUCGCGUCUCGGCGCUCCUGCUCCGUGCAUGUCCCAGAGCUGCCUUCCUGCCAGCCAGCGACGGGGGACCAGGAUCGCUGGGCUCAGACCCAUGACUUGACUGACACGAAAGCUUUCCAGCUUCAGAGACUGAAAGAGACAAAUGAGCAAUUUGCUGGGAAAUUAUCCUUUGGGAUUCCUCCUCUCUCCAAGCAACUUAAUUGGUGCUACCAGCUGCUGUGCCCAAUCCACGAGGGGCCGCCCCUGGCAGUGACAGCAAGCCAUCAAGCCCGAGCCCGUCUCCCCGCUCUGACGGAGGAGCCAGCUGGAGAUGGACCAAGGUGUCAACGGGACGGGAUGCACCGCAGAUCUCUGGGCAGAGGUGGCUAGAGGAUGUUUCACUCCUGUGCAGAAAGGACGUCCAAGGGCCGAGUGCUCAGUCCUGGGCCAUGGGAUUUCGGGACGGGACUUCCCCAAAGUACCCCUUGGCACUGGGAAGGUGCUUGGGCAGAGGUACACCUGUUGUGCAAUUGGACCCUCUUGUGCAAACCUGGCUUUUGUCUCACACUGACGCCGCCCAAAGCCAGCAGCAGCUGGGAUGGCUUUAUUGUUAUUGUGGAAACAGUGGCUGAUGAUUGCGGUGUUAAUCAGGCUCUUUAUGGCCCUCUGUGAAGCUACCCAAAUGAAAUAUUUUGCCUCCCGUAUUUUCUGCUGCUCUUCCAGCUGCAAGGCCAAGAGCUGGUGGCGAGGCAGCAGCCUCCCGAGGGAGUGAGGGCCCAGGGUAAACGGCGCGAUCGCUUUGGAGGCAAAAUGCAGGGCUCAGGGCUUCCCGAAGGAGAUCUGUACGAGGAUGAUGCUGAGGGGCUCAGAGCUGCUGGGGGAGCUUUUGGGAGUGCAGGAUGAGGCGUCUCUGCCCCGGCGCGCGGCCAUCAUCGCAUGUCCCCCAGGGUGCAAGGCAGGUCCCUUUACCCAGCCUAGCGUUGUUCCCGCUGCUCCAUCCUCCGCCGAAACGGCUCCCUGAGCUCCUGAGGCCACGACAAGCUCCCCCUGCCAUUAAUCACCCCCUCCGACCGGUGUCUGCGGAGGAAUUAAACUCAUUUGUCACUGUUGCCCUGUUCCCACCUGCCCUUCUCCCAGCGCGCUCGUCUCACGGGACGCCCUGUGUCCCCCCGACCUCCUCGGGUGCCCUUCACCCAGCAAUCCCAGGGCAAGGCUGAGCCAUUUCCGUGCUCAGCGCCCACCCCUGAAACCGGGGCUAACCAGUGCCAAGGCAUAGCGGGAAAUUCCCUGCUAGCUGCGAGGCUGAGCCAACCCCUUUGCUCCACCGAAGCCACCAGGAGAUGUUAACGAGCAUCAUGUGUCCUGCCUGCCCACAGCAGCCGGGAUUGAAGUGUCCUCCCCUGCCCCAAGCUGCUCAGCACCCUGCACUGCAGGCGAAACCUCAGUCAGGACUGUCACUCACAGAGCAACAGGUUUAAUUCCACCCUCCUCCGUCCCCCGGUGCUACGCAACCUCGACACGCUCGCUAAAACCCGCUCUGGUGGCGCUGUGCUCCAGCUUGCAGCACAGCCCAUGGGAACGCUCCCCCGGUAGCAAACAAGAGCUGCUCAUUAAUUAGCCUCCCGUUAUUCCAGAGCAUCCCCUGCAAUAACGCACAGCUCCUGCCUUUUAACUACCUACAAGCAAUCACUCAGCCUCCAAUUAAAAAAAAAAAAAAAAGAAGAAGGAACAAGCCCCCCGUCAUGUUGUUAGCAAUAAUUUUCCUGGCUGUUAACCUGCUCCUCUGCUCUAAUUUUUCACUAUACAGCCCCAGAGGCUAUGGGGAAGGAUGGGAGCCAAGCACAGCACCGGGCCUGCUGCUGUCUUGCUGCUAGCCACCCCUAGCCGUGCUUUUAGAGGUGGUUCGAGGCUGAACUGCUUUAAAGGUAAAGCCAUCAUCUUAUUCCUGCCUCUAAAGUUUGCCCUGUCUGCCUGAUCUCUGUGCUGGCUUUGCAGGGCGCGGAGGGCGUGCUAGCAUGGGUCUGUCCGUCCGCAGAGCCUCUUGCACCAGCAGUCGUAUGCAAGAGAGAGUUUUUAUUAUCAGCCGCUUUGCUGCGGGCCAGGGUAUUAUUAGCUGGAAGGCAUCGCCUNNNNNNNNNNNNNNNNNNNNNNNNNNNNNNNNNNNNNNNNNNNNNGUGGGGCUGCAGCCACGGGAGCCUGCAGCAGCGCGGGCUGCGCUGGGCUCGGGGGCGCCGCCUGGGCUCCCGGCGGCUGCCUUGGACAGAGAGCAAGGAGCCUACAGAUUUAUGUGAAAAAGGAUGGAAAAUGUGAAUGGCUAUAAUUGGGGCUUUUUGCUUUAGUCCUGGAAAUCCUAUGUCAGUCUUGGAAACGCAGUCUGUGCCCCUAAACAUCUUAUAGUCUGAGGAAAACACGGGCUUGUCGGAGAUGCCAGCCUUGCUGGGCUAUUCCCAAGGAGCCGGCUGUUUUCUUCUCUUGUUGCCUGUAAAUCCCCGACACGCUUAAAGCCUCUCCCCUGAUAGGGAGCCUAGCGCCUGAGCUCUGAAUAAACCUGCGCAAACUCUGCGGCUUAGCA
Molecule: long non-coding RNA, 2596 nt
Filed under: Struthio camelus australis
Lineage: Eukaryota; Metazoa; Chordata; Aves; Struthioniformes; Struthionidae
Description: lncRNA (ENSSCUG00000005963.1)
Source: RNAcentral